RNAcentral lists this long non-coding RNA (4218 nucleotides) under Gossypium barbadense (sea-island cotton). RNAcentral's name for it is "long non-coding RNA (GBAR_LNC020058)". The record is from RNAcentral. Lineage: Eukaryota; Viridiplantae; Streptophyta; Magnoliopsida; Malvales; Malvaceae.
GAUUCGACUACACUAUGCCCCCGAUGAGCGAAGGUUUGUUUUAAAUGAAAAAGGUAAAAUCGACCCUUAUUCUUCUGCUUAUCGAGGUAAGAUGCUUGAAACCUUUGAAACACUUUUGUACUCCUCGGAUAGUGAUAAAGAUCGUAUUGAUGAACACUUAGAUCGAAACGUGCUUGACUGUCCUAUUUUAUUUAUUGAUGAUCUAUCUGUUUUGAUGGUUGAUAAAAAGAUUCUUGUUUUUGAUAAUGCAUGUGUGAGUGAAUCUAUAGACCGUCGAUUAAUGCAUGGUAUGAUUAUGCAACUCUGUGAACCAUGUGAAUCUUUUCAAAUACCUACUUGUGACGAUUAUGUUUACCAUUUGAUUUAUUACUCGCAAUUUAUUCAUGGUUUGUGGGAACAAUGUGAGACGACUGAAUGCCUUAAAACAUGUCCAUCUUUGUUUCAAAUAUUUGACGAGGCAGUGGUGAGUAAAUUAGAUUGUUUGCAUGGUAAUCUGAAUCUGUCCAUUCACAUGCGUUAUACCUGUUCUGUUAUGCUUAUGAUUGGACUACAAGCUUGUUUCCGUUUCUAUUUACUAUCUCAUGGCUAUUCUUUUCAGUGGACUCAAUUGCCAUUAGUCCCGUUCGAUAGAGGAAAGUCGAGUUCAUUUGAUUUUUCAGAUUCGAGGACGAAUCUUUUUGAGGAAGGGGGAAUGAUACGAGUCACAAAAGCCCAAAUUCUUGAAGGCGAGGCCCAAUAAGCAAAUUCCCAGCCCAAUCAAGAAAUCCAUCCAUACUUAGUUGAAAAUCAGGCCAAAUUGUCAAAGUGGCCCAAGUUGUAAAGUUUUAUUUUUAUUUAUUUAUUUAUUUAUUUAUUUACUUAGUUUAAAUUUUUAUGUCAAUAUUCAGUCCAAGAGUCCCAGAUAAAAUGACCUUUGACCGAAUUUCCAUAUUAAAAUAAUUAGGAGUUUUUUUUAUUUUAGUUUUCUAAUUAGAUUAGGACUAGUUAUAAGGCCUAUUUAAAGGCAUGACUGUCCACCUUGUUAAACACUUAUCAUUAUUAUUAAAAUUUCAGAUUUGUUGAGAGCAGAAUUUUCUUUGAGUUUUCUCCAAGAUUUCUCUCUUGAGUUUUCUUUAGAAGUUGUUUUAACAAUCUUGUGAUUGUGGAAGCCAUCUUCAACCUUCUUCUUGCCAUUGAUAUUCUUUGGAGGGGAGAUUAGAGCCGUUUGAAGGGAGUUGUGAGAUCUUUCGAGAUUUCAAGGCUUCUUAGGACUUAUCUUUUAAUUUCUUACUGUCAAUUCUUUCUUUAUUUCUGCUUGUGCCGAAUCUUUAUCUAAUUUAUUUUCUGUUCUUAUUGUGUUUUCAGCCUUUUUCUAUCUUAAGGAAUUAGCCCAAAAAUCCCCAAUUUCUAGGGUUCUUGCCGAUUCAUCCAUACUCUUUUUGGGAGAAAUUAGAUUGCCGAAAUUUGGGGAAAACUAUCUUGGUGUUCAAUUGGGCAGAAUCACAAUCUCCUUGAGGGUUUCAAGAACCCUAACACUUAUUUCUAUUCUCAAUUUGAUUCUUUCCUGAUUUGGGGAUUUUAUUUCAGAUCUGAAAAUUCAAAAAUCUAAUCUUUUAAUUUUCUGUUUCGUUUCAGAUCUAAUUGUUUAGGGUUUUCGUAGGAGUUUCUCGUGACUUGGCAACUCGAUCUUGGUCCGUGAGCAACCCUUUAUCAUUUGGUAUCAGAUUUUGGGCGUUUUGGGUGUUCUUGGUUGAUUUCUAAACUGAUCUCUAUUUUUUAAAUUACAAACAGCAGUUUUACCCAGAAAAAUUUUCGAAAAACAAUUCAUUUGAGUGGGUAAACGUUUUCUGAUUGAUCUGAAAUUUUACAUACAUAUUUUUGGCACUGUUAUUGAAUAUACAAAAAUAUUUCCUGCAAAAAAAUAAGUCGAAAAAGUCAAAAAAUUGAAAAAAUACGAAAUCCAAUAAAAAAAUUAAAAAAAUAUUCAGCGGGUUGAAUUUGGUGCCCAAAUUUUCCAGAUCAAAAAUUAAAUAUUUGAAGACAUUCCAGAUUUAAUUUUGUGAUUUUUUGAGAUCGGGAACACCUCGAACGAAGUUGUCAAGUUACUCCGUAGUUUUUCGGGUUUUCUGUUUUCAACAAUUUUUAUUGAUUCUUAGCUGUAGGUUUUCAUUUGUUUGCUUUUUAUUCUCCCUUUACAAUAUCUAACACCUUCUUGUUUUUUGUGUUAGUAGGAUUUAAACGUGUGCCCAAUUCUUCCUCGGUGCAACACGAAUCAAUUGGUGUCUCGUCAGUUUUUGGCAUCCUAGUGCAAAUUAGGAUUCUUUGGUAGUUUGGUUCACACUCUCUAAUUGGUUGAUAUAAACUCUGAUAAAGAACUCACAAGAUUGAAUUCGACCUCAUUGAGAAUUUGAUUUUUCUUUUUGAGUGAUUAAUGGUGAGGUUUGCUAACUUUUAUUUUUGAGUGUUGAGUGUUUAUUUUUUACAAGUUUUGAAGAUGUCUAAAGGUGAUAAUAAUGAUGCACUUAUGAAAGUCCAACAACAGUUAGACAGACAUACUGCUGCAAUCACACAAAUAAAUGCUACACUUCAAGCAUUGAAUACUACUUUGAAUGAGGUACGAGUGAAUCAAAAACAUCAAUAUCGAGAUCCAAUUAAGGAAGAUAGGGAUAACCAGCCCCAUAGGUGCAACCCUCAACGUGUCCCUAGAAUGGAUGAUGAUUGUCAUGAUCAUGGACAAUCAUCUUUGGCAAAACCAAAGAGCGAGCAGCAACGAGAACAUCUCUUUCAUACUCGCUGCCACGUACAAGGUAAGCUUUGUAGAGUUAUUAUUGAUGGUGAAAGUUGCUCGAACAUAGCCAGCACGACGAUGGUGGAAAAGCUUUGCUUAACCACUACCAAGCAUCCACAACCUUAUCAACUACAAGGGCUUAGCAACGAAGGCCAAUUUAGGGUCACUCAACAAGUGCGCAUCGCCUUUUCUAUCGGUAAGUAUCAAGACGAAGUUGUGUGCGACGUAAUGCCUAUUCAAGCCUGCCAUUUGUUGCUAGGAGAACCGUGGCAACUGGAUCGAAAAGUCACUCAUGAUGGUCAUACCAAUAGGUAUUCUUUCAAGCAUCAAGGAAAGAAACUCACCUUAGUGCCGCUCACUCUGGAACAAGUCCAUGAGGACCAAAUUAAACUGAAAAAUUCUGUUAAAAUAAGUGAGGAAAAAGAAAAAGAGAAUGAAAAAGAGCAAAAAGAGAUUGUGAGUGAAAAAGAAAUUGAAGAAAGAAGAGAAAAUGAAUUAGAAAAAGAAACAAAAGAAAAAGACGUGGAAAGGGUAGUGAGGAAUGUUUCCACUAACCAAGAUAUGAAUUUUUCUUGUGUUGCUACUUUUCAGGUUCCCGAAAGAUCGAAAGAUAACUUUCAACUUCAAUACCUCUCAAAUGAAAGACGCUUUCAAACGAUCAACUUAGGCAAAGAUGAAAUCACACUACAUGAUCCCGAAGGUAAGCGAGGUAAGGAAAUUUUAGAAACCGAGUCCAGUGCAGAUUUGAAAAUUAUUGAUAAAACUUUUGGUGACUUAGUUCUUAAAAGAUCCCCUCAUUUUGAUCCGAUUAAUUGUUACUCUUCGAUUGUGGUUGAUAAAGUCAUUACGAAAAGAAGCGUGAUUUGUUAUUCUCUUGAUUUACCUUGUGUAAAAUCCUUGAAUUUGUCCAAAUCUGUUUUGGAGAAUAAGGUAACAAAAUUUUCCAAAUUUGUUUUCAAUUUAUAUUCGUGCCUUAAACAGUUUAUGUGGUUGUACAUGAAGUUUGAGUUCCAUUUGACAAACGUUAACUCAACAACGAAGAUUCGACUACACUAUGCCCCCGAUGAGCGAAGGUUUGUUUUAAAUGAAAAAGGUAAAAUCGACCCUUAUUCUUCUGCUUAUCGAGGUAAGAUGCUUGAAACCUUUGAAACACUUUUGUACUCCUCGGAUAGUGAUAAAGAUCGUGUUGAUGAACACUUAGAUCGAAACGUGCUUGACUGUCCUAUUUUAGUUAUUGAUGAUCUAUCUGUUUUGAUGGUUGAUAAAAAGAUUCUUGUUUUUGAUAAUGCAUGUGUGAGUGAAUCUAUAGACCGUCGAUUAAUGCAUGGUAUGAUUAUGCAACUCUGUGAACCAUGUGAAUCUUUUCAAAUACCUACUUGUGACGAUUAUGUUUACCAUUUGAUUUAUUACUCGCAAUUUAUUCAUGGUUUGUGGGAACAAUGUGAGACGAC